CACGCCGUAAACGAUGAGUGCUAAGUGUUAGGGGGUUUCCGCCCCUUAGUGCUGCAGCUAACGCAUUAAGCACUCCGCCUGGGGAGUACGGUCGCAAGACUGAAACUCAAAGGAAUUGAC
This 120-nucleotide ribosomal RNA is filed under the name uncultured bacterium. RNAcentral's name for it is "partial 16S ribosomal RNA". It matches the Rfam family "Bacterial small subunit ribosomal RNA", at positions 796 to 914 of the family's 1533-position model. The record is from RNAcentral.